This 2132-nucleotide ribosomal RNA is filed under the name Xanthomonas translucens pv. translucens. Its description in RNAcentral is "bacterial LSU rRNA". It matches the Rfam family "Bacterial large subunit ribosomal RNA", at positions 810 to 2925 of the family's 2925-position model. Lineage: Bacteria; Pseudomonadati; Pseudomonadota; Gammaproteobacteria; Lysobacterales; Lysobacteraceae. The record is from RNAcentral.
UGUGAUUAGGAGUGAAAAGCUAAUCGAACCCGGAGAUAGCUGGUUCUCCUCGAAAGCUAUUUAGGUAGCGCCUCGGACGAAUACUGCUGGGGGUAGAGCACUGUUAUGGCUAGGGGGUCAUCGCGACUUACCAAACCAUUGCAAACUCCGAAUACCAGUACGUACUAUCCGGGAGACACACGGCGGGUGCUAACGUCCGUCGUGAAAAGGGAAACAACCCAGACCCACAGCUAAGGUCCCAAAUUCACUGCUAAGUGGAAAACGAUGUGGAAAGGCACAGACAGCCAGGAGGUUGGCUUAGAAGCAGCCACCCUUUAAAGAAAGCGUAAUAGCUCACUGGUCGAGUCGGUCUGCGCGGAAGAUUUAACGGGGCUAAGCAGUGAACCGAAGCUUGGGGUGCAUCGCGAUAAGCGAUGCGCGGUAGAGGAGCGUUCCGUAAGCCGUUGAAGGUGGAUUGAGAAGUCCGCUGGAGGUAUCGGAAGUGCGAAUGCUGACAUGAGUAACGAUAAUGCGGGUGAAAAACCCGCACGCCGAAAGCCCAAGGUUUCCUUGCGCAACGUUAAUCGGCGCAGGGUGAGUCGGCCCCUAAGGCGAGGGCGAAAGCCGUAGUCGAUGGGAAGCAGGUUAAUAUUCCUGCACCUCGCGUAAGUGCGAUGGAGGGACGGAGAAGGUUAGGUGUACCGGGCGUUGGUUGUCCCGGGGAAAGGCGGUAGGUUUGGAUCUUUGGCAAAUCCGGGAUCCUUUAAGACCGAGCACCGAGACGAGUCUUUUAGACGAAGUCACUGAUACCAUGCUUCCAGGAAAAGCUCCUAAGCUUCAGCUUACGCAGACCGUACCGUAAACCGACACAGGUGGGUAGGAUGAGAAUUCUCAGGCGCUUGAGAGAACUCGGGUGAAGGAACUAGGCAACAUGGCACCGUAACUUCGGGAGAAGGUGCACCCUUUUUGGUGGCUCAUGCGAGCUAUAGCUGAAGAGGGUCGCAGAAACCAGGCCGCUGCGACUGUUUAUCAAAAACACAGCACUCUGCAAACACGAAAGUGGACGUAUAGGGUGUGACGCCUGCCCGGUGCUGGAAGGUUAAUUGAUGGGGUCAGCCGCAAGGCGAAGCUCUUGAUCGAAGCCCCAGUAAACGGCGGCCGUAACUAUAACGGUCCUAAGGUAGCGAAAUUCCUUGUCGGGUAAGUUCCGACCUGCACGAAUGGCGUAACGACAGCGGCGCUGUCUCCACCCGAGACUCAGUGAAAUUGAAAUCGCUGUGAAGAUGCAGCGUUCCCGUGGCAAGACGGAAAGACCCCGUGAACCUUUACUAUAGCUUUACACUGAACGUUGAGUUCGUCUGUGUAGGAUAGGUGGGAGGCUAUGAAACCAUGGCGCUAGCUGUGGUGGAGCCAACCUUGAAAUACCACCCUGUCGUGCUUGACGUUCUAACCUAGGUCCGUUAUCCGGAUCGGGGACCGUGUAUGGUGGGUAGUUUGACUGGGGCGGUCUCCUCCUAAAGAGUAACGGAGGAGCACGAAGGUACGCUCAGCGCGGUCGGACAUCGCGCACUGUGUGCAAAGGCAUAAGCGUGCUUGACUGCAAGAUCGACGGAUCAAGCAGGUACGAAAGUAGGUCUUAGUGAUCCGGUGGUUCUGUAUGGAAGGGCCAUCGCUCAACGGAUAAAAGGUACUCCGGGGAUAACAGGCUGAUACCGCCCAAGAGUUCAUAUCGACGGCGGUGUUUGGCACCUCGAUGUCGGCUCAUCACAUCCUGGGGCUGUAGUCGGUCCCAAGGGUAUGGCUGUUCGCCAUUUAAAGUGGUACGCGAGCUGGGUUCAGAACGUCGUGAGACAGUUCGGUCCCUAUCUGCCAUGGGCGUUGGAAGUUUGAGAGGGGCUGCUCCUAGUACGAGAGGACCGGAGUGGACGAACCUCUGGUGUUCCGGUUGUCACGCCAGUGGCAUUGCCGGGUAGCUAUGUUCGGAAGCGAUAACCGCUGAAAGCAUCUAAGCGGGAAGCGCGCCUCAAGAUGAGACUUCCCGGGGCACAAGCCCCCUUAAGGAACCAUGUAGACUACGUGGUUGAUAGGUCAGGUGUGUAAGUGCAGCAAUGCAUUGAGCUAACUGAUACUAAUGAUCCGUGCGGCUUGACCAU